This 465-nucleotide ribosomal RNA is filed under the name uncultured bacterium. Its description in RNAcentral is "partial 16S ribosomal RNA". It matches the Rfam family "Bacterial small subunit ribosomal RNA", at positions 338 to 795 of the family's 1533-position model. The record is from RNAcentral.
CCUACGGGAGGCAGCAGUGGGGAAUAUUUCGCAAUGGGCGAAAGCCUGACGCAGCGACGCCGCGUGAGGGAUGAAGGUCUUCGGAUCGUAAACCUCUGUCAGCAGGGAAGAACGGUCACUGUGCUAAUCAGCAGUGAAUUGACGGUACCUGCAAAGUAAGCACCGGCUAACUCCGUGCCAGCAGCCGCGGUAAUACGGAGGGUGCGAGCGUUAAUCGGAAUUACUGGGCGUAAAGCGCUCGUAGGCGGUAUGUUAAGUCAAGGGGGAAAUCCCCGCGCUCAACGUGGGAACUGCCUUUGAAACUGGCAAACUGGAGUGUGGGAGAGGAUAGCGGAAUUCCAGGUGUAGGAGUGAAAUCCGUAGAUAUCUGGAGGAACAUUAGUGGCGAAGGCGACUAUCUGGCACAUAACUGACGCUGAGGAGCGAAAGCGUGGGUAGCAAACAGGAUUAGAUACCCCUGUAGUC